Molecule: ribosomal RNA, 2034 nt
Filed under: Diplophrys mutabilis
Lineage: Eukaryota; Bigyra; Amphitremida
Description: partial 18S ribosomal RNA
Rfam family: Eukaryotic small subunit ribosomal RNA
Source: RNAcentral
GAUAGCCCUCGUCUCAAAUAAGCCUGCAUGUCUAAGUAUACAAAGUCUACUUUGAAACUGCGAACGGCUCAUUAGCCAGUUAUAGUUUAUUUGAUGUGUUGAAGUAGUUGUGAGGGGUUGUAUAUGUGUGUUGAUGUUUAUUGUGGUAUACAGAUCGAUCGAGCAUAUCAGAUGCAUAGCAAAUAUACAAAGUCUACAGGGAUAACCGUGGUAAUUCUAAAGCUAAUACCACGUGAAGGAAGGUGGUGGGGAGAGGGCGUGUUGUGAGAUAGUGGUUUAGAUAUAACACCCAAUACUCAUCAAUGCCAGCAUUUAUUAGAAAAGAAAUCAUUCAAUAAAAAGAAAGAUGAAUCAUAAUAAAAAAGCAAAUCGUUGAUUGAAAAAAGACGAUGAAUCAUUCAAGUAUCUGAUCUAUCAGCUUCGAUGGUAGGGUAUUGGCCUACGAUGGCGUUGACGGGUAACGGAUCUUUAGGGAGAGAAUCCGGAGAGGGAGCCUGAGAAACGGCUACCACAUCCAAGGAAGGCAGCAGGCGCGUAAAUUACCCAAUCCUAAAUCGGGGAGGUAGUGACAAGAAAUAGUGAGGAUGUAUUGUAGAUAAAAAUAUGAUAUAUCCAAACAAUGAGUGUAAUAUAUAUCCGUUAACGAGGAUCAAUGGAGGGCAAGUCUGGAUAGACCAGCAGCCGCGGUAAUCCAUUCCAAUAGCGGUAAUUAAAGUUGUUGCAGUUAAAAGCUCGUAGUUGGUGAUGAGGGUGGAUGGAUAAAGGGGAUAUGAGGGAAUGGUAUGUAAAAGAUAUCUUUCACACUUUACUCUUAUUAAUUCACACCCUUUAGAAGAAGAUAUAAUUAUUGGAAAUAUAUAUUAUAUUAAUAAUUUACUGUGAAAAAAUCAAAGCGUUCAAAGCAGGCUAAAAGGCUAUGAAAAAAGAUGGUUCCAGCAUGGAAUAAUGUUAAAUAAUAAUAGUGUGUGAAGUGGAGGUGAUAGAGUGUCCCUCCCCUACAUAAAUAGAUUGAAUAGGAACAGUCGGGGAUAUUCCUACUUAUAAUUCAGAGGUGAAAUUCUUGGAUUUUCUAAACCAAAACAACUGCAAAAGCUUUUAUAAGGGUUGUUUUCUUUAAUCAAGAACAAAAUUGUGGGGAUCAAAGAUAAUUAAAUCCCUUCGUAUUCUAAACAAAAAACAAUCCCUUUUCGAGGGAGGGUGAUGGGGGGUGGAGGGAAUACCAAAAAAAUGUUUUAUCACCCCCCAAUAAAAACAUCCCCCUCCUUCUUAUGCGAAAGCAAAAUGUUUGGGUUCUGGGGGGAGUAUGGUCGCAAGGCUGAAACUUAAAGGAAUUGACGGAAGGGCACCAUAAGGCGUGGAGCCUGCGGCUCAAUUUGACUCAACUCGGGGAAACUUAGCAGGGCAGAAACAAAUUAAGGAUGACAGAUUGGAAGUCUCAAGAAUUUACGUAUGUUUGGGUGGUGGUGCAUGGCCGUUCUUAGUUGGUGGAUAAUGAUUUGUCAGGUUAAUUCCGAUAACGAACGAGACCUCAAGGAUGAGUUGGAUGUGAUGUUAUAUUGUUGUAACUUGUCACAAUUCUCCCCCUCCGACAUUUCGCGAUAAAAUAAAAUAAAAAAAUAGCGGAAGGAAGUUUGAGGCAAUAACAGGUCUGUGAUGCCCUUAGAUGUCCUGCGCCGCACGCGCGCUACAAUGGUUGGGAAAGUGAGUGAUAAAGAUAGGUGAGAGGUAGUUAAAAUAACCUCUCAUCAACCUCGGUGUAGCCACCUUGGUAAUCUUUUAACCCCAAUCGUGAUAGGGCUAGAUUCUUGUAAUUAUUAAUCUUCAACGAGGAAUGCCUAGUAAACGCAAGUCAUCAUCUUGCAUUGAAUACAUCCCUGCCCUUUGUACACACCGCCCGUCGCAUCUACCGAUGAAUUUUGCGGUGAAGUCUUGGGAGUGGUGUACUUUAUGUAUGUGUAAAAAGCGUGCAAAGGUAUGUCAUGAACUUGAAUAAACCUUAACAUUUAGAGGAAGAGAAGGUCGUAACAAAGUUGC